Molecule: ribosomal RNA, 230 nt
Filed under: uncultured bacterium
Lineage: Bacteria
Description: partial 16S ribosomal RNA
Rfam family: Bacterial small subunit ribosomal RNA
Source: RNAcentral
AGGGGUGCGUAGGCGGGUAGGGUAAGUCAGUGGUGAAAUCCUGGAGCUCAACUCCAGAACUGCCAUUGAUACUAUCUAUCUUGAAUAUUGUGGAGGUAAGCGGAAUAUGUCAUGUAGCGGUGAAAUGCUUAGAUAUGACAUAGAACACCCAUUGCGAAGGCAGCUUACUACGCAUAUAUUGACGCUGAGGCACGAAAGCGUGGGGAUCAAACAGGAUUAGAUACCCCGGU